Molecule: ribosomal RNA, 497 nt
Filed under: uncultured bacterium
Lineage: Bacteria
Description: partial 16S ribosomal RNA
Rfam family: Bacterial small subunit ribosomal RNA
Source: RNAcentral
GAUGAACGCUGGCGGCGUGCCUAAUACAUGCAAGUCGAGCGAACGGACGAGAAGCUUGCUUUUCUGAUGUUAGCGGCGGACGGGUGAGUAACACGUGGAUAACCUACCUAUAAGACUGGGAUAACUUCGGGAAACCGGAGCUAAUACCGGAUAAUAUUUUGAACCGCAUGGUUCAAAAGUGAAAGACGGUCUUGCUGUCACUUAUAGAUGGAUCCGCGCUGCAUUAGCUAGUUGGUAAGGUAACGGCUUACCAAGGCAACGAUGCAUAGCCGACCUGAGAGGGUGAUCGGCCACACUGGAACUGAGACACGGUCCAGACUCCUACGGGGGGCAGCAGUAGGGAAUCUUCCGCAAUGGGCGAAAGCCUGACGGGGCAACGCCGCGUGAGUGAUGAAGGUCUUCGGAUCGUAAAACUCUGUUAUUAGGGAAGAACAUAUGUGUAAGUAACUGUGCACAUCUUGACGGUACCUAAUCAGAAAGCCACGGCUAACUACGUG